UACGUAGGGAGCAAGCGUUGUCCGGAAUCAUUGGGCGUAAAGCGCGCGUAGGCGGCCUUGUAAGUCCGUUGUGAAAGUCAAAGGCUCAACCUUUGAAAGCCGAUGGAUACUGCAAGGCUGGAGUCCGGAAGAGGCGAGUGGAAUUCCUGGUGUAGCGGUGGAAUGCGCAGAUAUCAGGAGGAACACCAAUAGCGAAGGCAGCUCGCUGGGACGGUACUGACGCUAAGGCGCGAAAGCGUGGGGAUCAAACAGG
RNAcentral lists this ribosomal RNA (253 nucleotides) under uncultured bacterium. RNAcentral describes it as "partial 16S ribosomal RNA". It matches the Rfam family "Bacterial small subunit ribosomal RNA", at positions 524 to 776 of the family's 1533-position model. The record is from RNAcentral.